GAACGCUGGCGGCGUGCCUAACACAUGCAAGUCAACUUGACUGAAGGAGCAAUCUGACAGUAGAGUGGCGCAAGGGUGCGUAACGCGUAAGUAACUUGCCCAAGGUAAGGAAUAACGUCGAGAAAUCGGCGCUAAUACCUCAUAAUGCAGCGGAUCCGCAUGGAUAUGUUGUUAAAGGUUUACCGCCUUGGGAUAGGCUUGCGUCUGAUUAGUUAGUUGGUGUGGUAACGGCACACCAAGGCUACGAUCAGUAACUGGUCUGAGAGGAUGAUCAGUCACACUGGAACUGAGACACGGUCCAGACUCCUACGGGAGGCAGCAGUGAGGAAUAUUGGGCAAUGCUCGAAAGAGUGACCCAGCAACGCCGCGUGGAGGAUGAAGGUAUUCUAUAUCGUAAACUCCUGUGAGAGCAGACGAAAGACAGAUUAUUAAUCUGGAUGACUGUAUGCUCAGAGGAAGCCCCGGCUAACUACGUG
Molecule: ribosomal RNA, 476 nt
Filed under: uncultured bacterium
Lineage: Bacteria
Description: bacterial SSU rRNA
Rfam family: Bacterial small subunit ribosomal RNA
Source: RNAcentral